GGAGGGGUGUCCGAGCGGCCUAAGGAGGCGGUCUUGAAAAUCGCUGAACCCUCUGUGGUUCCGUGGGUUCGAAUCCCACCCCCUCCG
RNAcentral lists this transfer RNA (87 nucleotides) under Thermodesulfitimonas autotrophica. It matches the Rfam family "tRNA". From Rfam's summary of the family: Transfer RNA (tRNA) molecules are approximately 80 nucleotides in length. Their secondary structure includes four short double-helical elements and three loops (D, anti-codon, and T loops). Lineage: Bacteria; Bacillati; Bacillota; Clostridia; Thermoanaerobacterales; Thermoanaerobacteraceae. The record is from Rfam by way of RNAcentral.